UUAACUGGAACUCAGCUGCACAUAGAAGCUUUAUGCUGGGGGAUCUCUCUAAGAGGCAGGAUGAAACAGUGCCUGUCCCAAAGAACUUACAAGAGAGGAUGCUGGUCUCAUGCAGACAUUCAAGUUGAGGUGUCUGCUCAGCUGGCUCUUCACUGGGUGAAACAAGAUGAAAGGUCCUUUGCCGCUGCCUGGUGUUGCCUUUCAUGGAGCUCUCCAGCACAGCUCUUUCCAAAAGUUGCAGGGCACACAGGGGCCGUGUAAGGCAUAGUUUCUGCUGCUCUCCCAUGGACACAGACAAACACACUUUCAGUGCCAUACACCUACAGGAGGAACUUCAGGAGCACUCCUUAAGGUGAUUAAUCUCCUGGCAGAGCAUUCAGAGCAGGAUAAUAUACAGAGUGAUAUGGAGCAAUUGAAGCUGAUGUUGACUUAGCCCCAAUACCAAAUCGAUGCCAAAGUACAUGACUUCUGAUUUGCUUUCUAAUAUAUCAAUAAAGGCUACAGGAUGAAAUGCAUCCUGGCGUUUGAAUGGAAUUUAACAACUACCUCAGCAUUGUGGUAUCUCACUAUAGAGAGCUGAAUUUCACCCAGAGAGCACACACUGAUGCGUGCAAUAUUCUGCCUUGGGCUUUUAAAGACCAUUUCCAAGCACUGCUGAGACAGACUUUCUUUGGACUUACAGAAACAUAUGCUGCCUGUGCUGAUGCACGAUAAAUCAUUGUUCACUAAUAUUCCAUGGCUUUUCAUAUUGGGGAAGGAUUCUGGAAAGCAGAUGAGACAGAAGAAUUUACUUACGAGAAAGGUGUGAGAUGCAAGAUGGGAAAUAAUUCCAGAAAGUCAGA
This is a long non-coding RNA of Dromaius novaehollandiae (emu), 842 nucleotides long. RefSeq lists it as uncharacterized. The transcript has 4 exons. The record is from RefSeq and is a predicted model, not a curated record. Lineage: Eukaryota; Metazoa; Chordata; Aves; Casuariiformes; Dromaiidae.